GAUGAACGCUGGCGGCGUGCCUAACACAUGCAAGUCGAACGAAGCUCCUGCGACGGAUUCCUUCGGGAUGAAGAUGCUUGAGACUGAGUGGCGGACGGGUGAGUAACGCGUGGGUAACCUGCCCUGAACAGGGGGACAACAGUUGGAAACGACUGCUAAUACCGCAUAAGCGCACAGUACCGCAUGGUACGGUGUGAAAAACUCCGGUGGUUCAGGAUGGACCCGCGUCUGAUUAGUUAGUUGGCGGGGUAACGGCCCACCAAGACGACGAUCAGUAGCCGGCUUGAGAGAGUGAACGGCCACAUUGGGACUGAGACACGGCCCAAAACUCCUACGGGAGGCAGCAGUGGGGAAUAUUGCACAAUGGGGGAAACCCUGAUGCAGCAACGCCGCGUGAGUGAAGAAGUAUUUCGGUAUGUAAAGCUCUAUCAGCAGGGAAGAAAAUGACGGUACCUGACUAAGAAGCCCCGGCUAACUACGUGCCAGCAGCCGCGGU
RNAcentral lists this ribosomal RNA (496 nucleotides) under uncultured bacterium. RNAcentral's name for it is "bacterial SSU rRNA". It matches the Rfam family "Bacterial small subunit ribosomal RNA", at positions 28 to 521 of the family's 1533-position model. The record is from RNAcentral.